Monomorium pharaonis (pharaoh ant) is the source of this 928-nucleotide RNA transcript. It is a transcript of the gene named type-1 angiotensin II receptor-associated protein, with no coding region annotated. The transcript is spliced from 6 exons. Lineage: Eukaryota; Metazoa; Arthropoda; Insecta; Hymenoptera; Formicidae. The record is from RefSeq and is a predicted model, not a curated record.
UUGCGAAAAGCUGCUGCACAGCUGAUAUACGCAGUAUAAUGUGGUGUGUUCGCUUUGUGUUGUUGCCGACCCGAAGUUGUAGGCGGAAAGCAGAUUAGAUAUUUUUUGUCAGCCAGAGAGAUAUUUUUAAAUCGUAUUCCAAUUAAUCGGCCUUUCUUUUGUCAUUAUUGAUAUAGAAGUUACUGUCGUGCAACGAAAUGCCUAAUCUAACCAAUUUAUCCCAUUUUCCUUUAAAGAUCAUAUUUACAAUUCACUUGAUUCUUGUGACAUGGGGAAUGCAGGGAAGUUGGUGUCCACAGUCUGUAUUAUUUUAUAAUUUGUUAUUCCUUGUGUGUAUAUUUUGGGCUGUUCAUAAUACAGAAUCAGAUGAACCACUGCAGUUUGCAUUUUUUAUAAAUAUAAUCUCAAUAUUUCUGGAUGUGGUUACCUUAGCAGUCUACUAUCCAUCGGAGUACAACAAUGCCUCUAAUAAGUUUAGCGCAGCCCUUAUGAUCAUAAAUUUGAUUGUUCGUCCUAUUUCAAGUAUAUAUCUGCUGCGAGUAGGUCAGGGGAGAGGUGGCAACUUGGCUACUGUAUUUGCACCGAGUCCUGCCAUGGGUCAGUAAAUCACAAUACUGACUACAUGUCUACGCUUUUGUAGUGCAUCAGUGUUUCAACACGAGCAUAAGUUAUGGCAGGCAAGAUUACGAAGAGAUUUCUCAUCCUCUUCCGCAGAAUUCGGAUUUUGAUGGAGUUUAAAGUUGAAUAAAGGUUGUUCGAAAAUGCAGUUUUAAAUUUAUGUAACAUACACAUGUUUCUGACAUAACAUAGUUUAGAUUACAAUUGUGUAAUGUUAUUUUUCAAUGCUAUAUUAGCAUUGAUAAGUAAUUGUUUAAAUUAAUAUAAGUUGCCUUGUAUAAUGUUUUAUAUUACAAAAAAUCAAAGGUUA